RNAcentral lists this ribosomal RNA (468 nucleotides) under uncultured bacterium. Its description in RNAcentral is "partial 16S ribosomal RNA". It matches the Rfam family "Bacterial small subunit ribosomal RNA", at positions 28 to 507 of the family's 1533-position model. The record is from RNAcentral.
GACGAACGCUGGCGGCGUGCUUAACACAUGCAAGUCGAACGGAAAGGCCCUGCUUUUGUUGGGUGCUCGAGUGGCGAACGGGUGAGUAACACGUGAGUAUCCUGCCCUUUACUUUGGGGUAACUUCAGGAAACUGGGGCUAAUACCUGAUAGGAGCUCCUGCUGCAUGGUGGGGGUUGGAAAGUUUCGGCGGUUGGGGAUGGACUCGCGGCUUAUCAGCUUGUUGGUGGGGUAGUGGCUUACGAAGGCCUUGACGGGUAGCCGGCCUGAGAGGGUGACCGGGCACAUUGGGACUGAGAUACGGCGCAGACUCCUACGGGAGGCAACAGUGGGAAAUAUUGCACAAUGGGCGGAAGCCUGAUGCAGAAACGCCGCGUGCGGGAUGACGGCCUUCGGGUUGUAAACCGCUUUCGCCUGUGACGAAGCGUGAGUGACGGUAAUGGGUAAAGAAGCACCGGCUAACUACGUG